This 408-nucleotide ribosomal RNA is filed under the name uncultured bacterium. Its description in RNAcentral is "bacterial SSU rRNA". It matches the Rfam family "Bacterial small subunit ribosomal RNA", at positions 129 to 518 of the family's 1533-position model. The record is from RNAcentral.
CCCCCCGGCCCGGGAUAGACCCCAGGGGAAAACCUGGAUUAAUACCGGAUGAGACGGGACCCGCGAUGGCGGGAUCCGGGAAAGGCGCUGCGGCGCCGCCGGGGGAUGAGUCUGCGUCCCAUUAGCUAGACGGCGGGGUAACGGCCCACCGUGGCGACGAUGGGUAGCCGGCCUGAGAGGGUGACGGCCACAUUGGAACUGAGACACGGUCCAGACUCCUACGGGAGGCAGCAGCUAAGAAUCUUCCGCAAUGGGCGAAAGCCUGACGGAGCGAACCGCCGCGUGAACGAAGAAGGCCGUGAGGUUGUAAAGUUCUUUUCGGGAGGGGGAACAACCGUGGCUAGGGAAUGGCCGCGGGAUGACGUGAAUCCCGGAAUAAGCCCCGGCUAACUACGUGCCAGCAGCGGC